AUUCCUACGGGAGGCAGCAGUGGGGAAUAUUGCACAAUGGGCGAAAGCCUGAUGCAGCGACGCCGCGUGAGGGAUGACGGCCUUCGGGUUGUAAACCUCUUUCAGUAGGGAAGAAGCGAUGGGGUUUUCUUUGUCGUGACGGUACCUGCAGAAGAAGCGCCGGCUAACUACGUGCCAGCAGCCGCGGUAAUACGUAGGGCGCAAGCGUUGUCCGGAAUUAUUGGGCGUAAAGAGCUCGUAGGCGGUUAGUCGCGUCUGCUGUGAAAACUCGAGGCUCAACCUCGGGCUUGCAGUGGGUACGGGCUGACUAGAGUGCGGUAGGGGUGACUGGAAUUCCUGGUGUAGCGGUGGAAUGCGCAGAUAUCAGGAGGAACACCGAUGGCGAAGGCAGGUCACUGGGCCGCAACUGACGCUGAGGAGCGAAAGCAUGGGGAGCGAACAGGAUUAGAUACCCUGGUAGUCCAUGCCGUAAACGUUGGGCACUAGGUGUGGGGUCCAUUCCACGGAUUCCGUGCCGCAGCAAACGCAUUAAGUGCCCCGCCUGGGGAGUACGGCCGCAAGGCUAAAACUCAAAGAAAUUGACGGGGGCCCGCACAAGCGGCGGAGCAUGCGGAUUAAUUCGAUGCAACGCGAAGAACCUUACCAAGGCUUGACAUGCACCGGAAACUUCCAGAGAUGGUUGCCCCGCAAGGUCGGUGCACAGGUGGUGCAUGGUUGUCGUCAGCUCGUGUCGUGAGAUGUUGGGUUAAGUCCCGCAACGAGCGCAACCCUCGUCCCAGUUCGGAUUGAUCCAUAUGACUG
Molecule: ribosomal RNA, 801 nt
Filed under: uncultured Cellulomonadaceae bacterium
Lineage: Bacteria; Bacillati; Actinomycetota; Actinomycetes; Micrococcales; Cellulomonadaceae
Description: bacterial SSU rRNA
Rfam family: Bacterial small subunit ribosomal RNA
Source: RNAcentral